RNAcentral lists this unclassified non-coding RNA (327 nucleotides) under soil metagenome. RNAcentral's name for it is "partial contains 5.8S ribosomal RNA, internal transcribed spacer 2, and large subunit ribosomal RNA". The stretch from base 1 to 120 matches the Rfam family "5.8S ribosomal RNA", at positions 35 to 154 of the family's 154-position model. The record is from RNAcentral.
GAUGAAGAACGCAGCGAAAUGCGAUAAGUAAUGUGAAUUGCAGAAUUCAGUGAAUCAUCGAAUCUUUGAACGCACAUUGCGCCCCUUGGUAUUCCGAGGGGCAUGCCUGUUCGAGCGUCAUUAUAACCCCUCAAGCUCAGCUUGGUGUUGGGGCCUGCCGCACGGGCAGCCCUUAAAAUCAGUGGCGGUGCUAUCUGGCUCUAAGCGUAGUAAUUCUUCUCGCUAUAGAGUCCCGGUGGAUGCUUGCCAUUAACCCCCAAUUUUCUAUGGUUGACCUCGGAUCAGGUAGGGAUACCCGCUGAACUUAAGCAUAUCAAUAAGCGAGGA